Molecule: long non-coding RNA, 1637 nt
Organism: Salvelinus fontinalis (brook trout)
Lineage: Eukaryota; Metazoa; Chordata; Actinopteri; Salmoniformes; Salmonidae
Exons: 2
Source: RefSeq, a predicted model, not a curated record
CGUAACCAAAAACCCGGUUCCUUUUUGAUUGGAAGGAUUUGUAUGGAAAGCCUAGUAUACUACUUCAAGUAGGACUGGGUGGUAUACCGUAUUUUACUAUAUACCGGUAUUGAUGCACGGACCGGUUUGGGUUUUUACUUUACCUUCAAUAACGGUAUUUGAAUGUUUGGUUUGUUAAAUGUGAUAUGCCGUGUGUAACGUCCAUUUUUAUAGUUUACACCGCUACUUGAGUCAUUCCUCUCUGCUCUCUCCAUCCCGCUUUCCACACAGACCUAGCCCCACCCACUGUCACUCAAGGAGCGCAUUUGUUGUUGCUUGACCAAGAGACACUUGCGUUCAGUCGGCAUGGUCAAUGCAGCACAUCAUGCAACAACGUUGCUAACUCUGCUUCUGAAUAUAAAUCGACAAGCGUUCCAUGAUUACACUAUUAGGUUGUGUUUUUUACAUCUGCAAACAGGUGUCGCCCAUCUUCCCCUUUAUCCACAGUGUAUUUAUACCUGUGUUCUCUGUUUGUCUGUUGCCAGUUAGUUUUGUUCGUCAAGCCAACCAGCGUUUUCCCCCUUGCUCCUGUCUGUUUCCAGUUCCUGUUUUCUAGUUUUCCCGGUUUUGACCAUUCUGCCUGCCCUGACCCUGAGCCUGCCUGCCAUUCUGUACCUUGUCACAUCACACUGGAUUAUUGACCUAUGUCUGCCCUGACCCUGAGACUGCCUGCCGUUCUGUACCUUUUAGACUCUGAUCUGGAUUACCGACGUCUGCAUGCCGUUGACCUGUCAUUUUGCCUGCCCCCUGUUCUAUUAAUAGACUGUUGUUAAUUCGACACUGUCUGCAUCUGGGUCAUGCCUAAAACGUGAUACCAUGACAGACUGACCAGGUGAAUCCAGGUGAAAGCUAUGAUCCCUUAUUGAUGUCACUUGUUAAAUCCACUUCAAUCAGUGUAGAUUAAGGGGAGGAGACAGGUUAAAGAAGGAUUUUUAAGCCUUAAGACAAUUGAGACAUGAAUUGUGUAUAUGUGCCAUUCAGAAGGUGAAUGGGCAAGAAAAAAGAUUUAAGUGCCUUUGAACGGGGUAUGGUAGUAGAUUCCAGACGCACCGGUUUGUGUCAAGAACUGCAAUGCUGCUGGGUUUUUCACGCUAAACAGUUUCCUGUGUGUAUCAAGAAUGAUCCACAACCCAAAGGACAUCCAGACAACUUGAUGCAACUAUGGGAAGCAUUGGAGUCAACAUGGGCCAGCAUCCCUGUGGAACGCUUUUGACAUUUUGUAGUCCAUUCCCUGAUGAAUUGAGGCUGUUCUGAGGGCAAAAGGGGGGUGCAACUUAAUACUAAGAAUGUGUUCCUAAUGUUUGGUAUGCUCAGUGUAAUUAGCAUAUGAAUGUCAAUAGUUGCUGUAUGGGUUUGGCAGUGUUAACAUUAAAAGUGAAUAACUUCGACAAUAUGUCUGAAAUAAAUGAGUCAGGACAGCGUUUUUUCCCCCGUUCUUCAUAUGCAAUCCAAAAAUAGUCAGGAAUAAGUCAAUGCUAGCUCACCAUCUGGUAAUUGAUGAGAACUUGUACGUUGAAAUAUUUAUAAUAUUCAUGAAUAUCAGUUUUGUAAAUUCAGACUUCAUUUGACGAGUAAAUAAUAAAGAGAGCAUACAUGUG